AGCAGCCGCGGUAAUUCCAGCUCCAAUAGCGUAUAUUAAAGUUGUUGCAGUUAAAAAGCUCGUAGUUGAAUUUCGGGGUUAGUAGGUUGGUCGUGCCACUGGUACGUACUGGUCUCACUGACUCCUCCUUCCUGGUGAACUGUAAUGCCAUUAAUUUGGUGUUGCGGGGAAACUGGACUGUUACUUUGAAAAAAUUAGAGUGUUUAAAGCAAGCUAACGCUUGAAUACAUUAGCAUGGAAUAAUGAAAUAGGACGUUCGAUCCUAUUUUGUUGGUUUCUAGGAUUGACGUAAUGAUUAAUAGGGAUAGUUGGGGGCAUUAGUAUUCAAUUGUCAGAGGUGAAAUUCUUGGAUUUAUUGAAGACUAACUACUGCGAAAGCAUUUGCCAAGGAUGUUUUCAUUAAUCAAGAACGAAAGUUAGGGGAUCGAAGACGAUCAGAUACCGUCGUAGUCUUAACCAUAAACUAUGCCGACUAGGGAUCGGAUGAUGUUAAUUUUUUAAUGACUCAUUCGGCGCCUUACG
This 522-nucleotide ribosomal RNA is filed under the name uncultured Glomus. Its description in RNAcentral is "SSU rRNA". It matches the Rfam family "Eukaryotic small subunit ribosomal RNA", at positions 569 to 1092 of the family's 1831-position model. Lineage: Eukaryota; Fungi; Glomeromycota; Glomeromycetes; Glomerales; Glomeraceae. The record is from RNAcentral.